This 645-nucleotide ribosomal RNA is filed under the name uncultured bacterium. RNAcentral describes it as "bacterial SSU rRNA". It matches the Rfam family "Bacterial small subunit ribosomal RNA", at positions 232 to 885 of the family's 1533-position model. The record is from RNAcentral.
CGCGGCCUAUCAGCUUGUUGGUGGGGUAAUGGCCUACCAAGGCGGCGACGGGUAGCCGGCCUGAGAGGGUGUACGGCCACAUUGGGACUGAGAUACGGCCCAGACUCCUACGGGAGGCAGCAGUGGGGAAUAUUGCACAAUGGGCGCAAGCCUGAUGCAGCGACGCCGCGUGGGGGAUGAAGGCCUUCGGGUUGUAAACUCCUUUCGCUAGGGACGAAGCUUUUUGUGACGGUACCUAGAUAAGAAGCACCGGCUAACUACGUGCCAGCAGCCGCGGUAAUACGUAGGGUGCGAGCGUUGUCCGGAAUUACUGGGCGUAAAGGGCUCGUAGGUGGUUUGUCGCGUCGUCUGUGAAAUUCUGGGGCUUAACUCCGGGCGUGCAGGCGAUACGGGCAUAACUUGAGUGCUGUAGGGGUAACUGGAAUUCCUGGUGUAGCGGUGAAAUGCGCAGAUAUCAGGAGGAACACCGAUGGCGAAGGCGGGUUACUGGGCAGUUACUGACGCUGAGGAGCGAAAGCAUGGGUAGCGAACAGGAUUAGAUACCCUGGUAGUCCAUGCCGUAAACGGUGGGCGCUAGGUGUGAGGGUCUUUCUACGACUUUCGUACCGUAGCUAACGCAUUAAGCGCCCCGCCUGGGGAGUACGG